This is a small nucleolar RNA of Fukomys damarensis (Damara mole-rat), 126 nucleotides long. The record is from Ensembl. NCBI's taxonomy places the organism in Eukaryota, Metazoa, Chordata, Mammalia, Rodentia, Bathyergidae.
AGCACUUGUAUCUGUUUUUGUCUAACUUGUACAGUAAGAGUUAUGGACAGGUGCAAAAGACAAAUCCUCUUUCACAACCCAGAACUUACUGUUCAGUAUGGGUUUUGAUACACAAAAAGGAAUAUA